GACAGAGGGGGCAAGCGUUGCUCGGAAUUACUGGGCGUAAAGGGCGCGUAGGCGGUUCUAUAAGUCAGGCGUGAAAUUCCUGGGCUUAACCUGGGGGCUGCGCUUGAGACUGUGGGACUUGAGGUCAGAAGAGGGUCGUGGAAUUCCCAGUGUAGAGGUGAAAUUCGUAGAUAUUGGGAAGAACACCGGUGGCGAAGGCGGCGACCUGGUCUGAUACUGACGCUGAGGCGCGACAGCGUGGGGAGCAAACAGG
Molecule: ribosomal RNA, 253 nt
Filed under: uncultured bacterium
Lineage: Bacteria
Description: partial 16S ribosomal RNA
Rfam family: Bacterial small subunit ribosomal RNA
Source: RNAcentral